AAAAAGUAUAAAUAAAAUACAUCUACAAAUAUGGAGUCAGUAUAAUGAUUUGUUUGUAUUAUUAAAAAAUAAUUUUUUAAAUUAGGAUUUUUACGAAACUAAAUAAUAACUAAAAUAAUAAAAACGUUUUAUAACUUAAGCAUGCAUAAGAACUGCAUAAUAACAUAGAGCUGCAUUUUGAACAUGACCAUUCUGCACAUUCGUCUUCCAAAACAUAAUCAGGGAUAAGUUUACAAGCGCGAUGAUACCAAUUUUCACAUAUAUUGUUAUAGAAUUGAACUUUCCGGCCUACUAAACGGUGGUUUUUCGUGUGAUGCUUCAUAAUCGUCAGUAUCUAAGUUUAAGAAUGGUGAAUUUAGAUAUAAUGAUGACAAAGCACUCCAUGACCAAGCAGGGUACUUUUUAAAUACAAAAAAAAAAUGUUUGCAUGAAUAUGCAUUUAAUAUCCAAUUUAAACAAGUACAUUUUGGCAUUGUAAUCUCAUCACCAAAUAAUACAAAAUAUUUAGAAGCUGUCUUGGUAGAACUUAAUACAGCAAAAAAUCCAUGUUUAAUCAUGAUUACUCUGGACAAAUCAAGAUUCUCAACGUUACUUUUUUUUGUUAAUCAAUGUUUAACAAAGCUAUGAGGACGGUUGUAAAGAUAACUUGGCACCCAAAGUGCAUACCUUCUGUAACGUGCAUCCAUUUUAAAGUUGGAAUUAAUAUAGCUAAACGAAAUAAUAUACAUAGUAACAAAGUUUCUUUAAUAAAGUAUAAGGAAAAACCCAGUAUUGUGUAAAUGUACAAAUGUUAAAGUGAUUUGGUAUGUAGUACCAUAGACACGAUAUCUUUAAAAUGCAAAAUGUAAUGAUAAGGAAAAAAAUUUUAAUAUUAGUUACGUGAACAAUGUAUACUAUGAAUUAUUAUUAAAUAUAUAAACCUGCUAAUCACAUACCUAGGUUU
This is a long non-coding RNA of Hydra vulgaris (swiftwater hydra), 943 nucleotides long. RefSeq lists it as uncharacterized. NCBI's taxonomy places the organism in Eukaryota, Metazoa, Cnidaria, Hydrozoa, Anthoathecata, Hydridae. The record is from RefSeq and is a predicted model, not a curated record.